GUAAGAAGUGACAGGGUACACGACAGCCAGGAAAGAAUCAAAAAGCUGUGAUACACUGCUUGAUAAAAGUAGACAUAGAAGGAAAAUUUAAAAAAUUAUGGCAUACAGGACAGGAAAGAUAUUUAAAAAUAGGGAGAGAAAAAUAGAUAAAUAGAGAUAUGGAAAGAAAAUUUUUAAAACAAUGAGGUGCAAGACAGAGAUGAAAAAAAUAAAAAUAUAUAGACAGUGAACUGUAUAAAACUAGCCAUAGAAAGAAAAUUUAAAAAGCAACUGCUUACAGGACAUACAGGAAAGAAUUAAAAAAUAGGGACAGCAAACAAACAGACACAGAAAGAAAAUGUUAAAAGUGAGAUGGUACAGGACAGAGGAUAAAAUUAAAAAACAAAGACAGUGAAUAGGUUAAAGUAGACAUAGAAAGAAAAAGUAAAAAGCAACGGGGUACACAAUAGUGAGGAAAGAAUUAAAAAACAGUGAUACACAGCUCGAUAGAAGUAGACAUAGAAGGAAAAUUUAAGAAGUGAUUGGGUACAGGACAGAAAAAAAUUUUAAAAAUAGCCACAGUGAACUAAAACUGAGAAAUAUAAAGGAAAUUUAAAAGUAUCACAGGGGCACAGGACAGAGAGAUAAAAAAUAAA
Harpia harpyja (harpy eagle) is the source of this 635-nucleotide long non-coding RNA. RefSeq lists it as uncharacterized. Lineage: Eukaryota; Metazoa; Chordata; Aves; Accipitriformes; Accipitridae. The record is from RefSeq and is a predicted model, not a curated record. The transcript has 2 exons.